UACGUAGGGGGCAAGCGUUGUCCGGAAUUAUUGGGCGUAAAGAGCGUGUAGGCGGCCAGAUAAGUCCGCUGUGAAAUCUCGAGGCUCAACUUCGAGCUGUCGGUGGAAACUAUCUGGCUAGAGUCCGGAAGAGGAGAAUGGAAUUCCUGGUGUAGCGGUGAAAUGCGCAGAUAUCAGGAGGAACACCGGUGGCGAAGGCGGGUCUCUGGGCCGUAACUGACGCUGAGGAGCGAAAGCGUGGGGAGCGAACAGG
This 253-nucleotide ribosomal RNA is filed under the name uncultured bacterium. RNAcentral's name for it is "partial 16S ribosomal RNA". It matches the Rfam family "Bacterial small subunit ribosomal RNA", at positions 524 to 776 of the family's 1533-position model. The record is from RNAcentral.